CAAGUCGAGCGAUGAAGUUUCUUCGGAAAUGGAUUAGCGGCGAACGGGUGAGGAACACGUGAAGAAUCUGCCCUCCACUUUGGGAUAACACCGGGAAACCGGUGCUAAUACUGAAUAUUGAAACAUAAGUGGCAUCACUGAGUUUUGAAAGAAUUUCGGUGGAGGAUGACUUCGCGGCCUAUCAGCUAGUUGGUGAGGUAAUGGCUCACCAAGGCAACGACGGGUAGCCGGCCUGAGAGGGCGACCGGCCACACUGGGACUGAGACACGGCCCAGACUCCUACGGGAGGCAGCAGUGGGGAAUAUUGGGCAAUGGAGGAAACUCUGACCCAGCGACGCCGCGUGCGGGAUGAAGGCCUUCGGGUUGUAAACCGCUUUCAGUAGGGAAGAAGCGAAAGUGACGGUACCUACAAAAGAAGCACCGGCUAACUAUGUGCCAGCAGCCGCGGUAAUACAUAGGGUGCAAGCGUUGUCCGGAAUUAUUGGGCGUAAAGAGCUCGUAGGUCGUUUGUUACGUCGGAUGUGAAAACCUGAGGCUCAACCUCAGGCCUGCAUUCGAUACGGGCAAACUAGAGUUUGGUAGGGGAGACUGGAAUUCCUGGUGUAGCGGUGGAAUGCGCAGAUAUCAGGAGGAACACCAAUGGCGAAGGCAGGUCUCUGGGCCAAUACUGACACUGAGGAGCGAAAGUCUGGGGAGCGAACAGGAUUAGAUACCCUGGUAGUCCAGACCGUAAACGGUGGGCACUAGUUGUGGGAACCUUCCACGGUUUCUGCGACGCAGCUAACGCAUUAAGUGCCCCGCCUGGGGAGUACGAUCGCAAGAUUAAAACUCAAAGGAAUUGACGG
RNAcentral lists this ribosomal RNA (845 nucleotides) under uncultured bacterium. RNAcentral's name for it is "bacterial SSU rRNA". It matches the Rfam family "Bacterial small subunit ribosomal RNA", at positions 58 to 916 of the family's 1533-position model. The record is from RNAcentral.